AUUUAUAUAAUAUAUUUAGUAUAUUUGACUUCCAAUCAAAAAGUUUAAUUGUUUUUAAUAUAAAUA
This 66-nucleotide transfer RNA is filed under the name Pygospila tyres. RNAcentral's name for it is "tRNA-Gly". Lineage: Eukaryota; Metazoa; Arthropoda; Insecta; Lepidoptera; Crambidae. The record is from RNAcentral.